CUGAAGAAAUGGCAAGGUUGAGCUGGCUCUUCGGGGUAUGUGCUCGCUCUGUCGCUUUUUCUACUUUCCACUGUGCACCUUAUGUAGGCUUAUUGACUGGGAUGAAGGAAAGCCCUUUUGACCUUCGUUAAGCCUAUGUCUAUACACACUCUAUAAAGUUUAUGAAUGUCUUAUUGUUGGUCUUGACCGACCGAUAAAACCUUAUA
This 206-nucleotide unclassified non-coding RNA is filed under the name uncultured Schizophyllaceae. RNAcentral describes it as "sequence contains ITS1". Lineage: Eukaryota; Fungi; Basidiomycota; Agaricomycetes; Agaricales; Schizophyllaceae. The record is from RNAcentral.